CCUACGGGGGGCAGCAGUGGGGAAUAUUGCACAAUGGGGGAAACCCUGAUGCAGCGACGCCGCGUGAAGGACGAAGUAUUUCGGUACGUAAACUUCUAUCAGCAGGGAAGAAAAUGACGGUACCUGACCAAGAAGCCCCGGCUAACUACGUGCCAGCAGCCGCGGUAAUACGUAGGGGGCAAGCGUUAUCCGGAUUUACUGGGUGUAAAGGGAGCGUAGACGGCCAUGCAAGUCUGAUGUGAAAGCCCGGGGCUCAACCCCGGUACUGCAUUUGAAACUGUCCAGCUGGAGUGCAGGAGAGGUAA
RNAcentral lists this ribosomal RNA (305 nucleotides) under uncultured bacterium. RNAcentral describes it as "bacterial SSU rRNA". It matches the Rfam family "Bacterial small subunit ribosomal RNA", at positions 338 to 660 of the family's 1533-position model. The record is from RNAcentral.